UCUCCGUUGGUGAACCAGCGGAGGGAUCAUUACAGAGUAUAAAAACUCCCAAACCCAUGUGAACAUACCUAUCGUUGCUUCGGCGGGAACGCCCCGGGCCUCUGCGUCCGGAACCAGGCGCCCGCCGGAGGCCACAAACUCUUGCAUUAUCGUGUCUUGUCUGAGUAUGAAAAAACAAAUGAAUCAAAACUUUCAACAACGGAUCUCUUGGUUCUG
RNAcentral lists this unclassified non-coding RNA (216 nucleotides) under soil metagenome. Its description in RNAcentral is "partial contains small subunit ribosomal RNA, internal transcribed spacer 1, and 5.8S ribosomal RNA". The record is from RNAcentral.